AGCCUGCCUGUCCUUAGGAUGUCCGGAUGCGGAACUAGGACCGUGCCCCCGUACCGCAAUCACUUGUCUUUUAAAUGAUGGCCUGGAUGACUGGCUGAACAAGGGCUUAACUGACUCCCCUUUCAAGUCAGUGAAAUUGAUUUACCCGUGCAGAAACGGGUAUAAUAAUACAAGACGAGAAGACCCUUUGGAGCUUAAGGUACAAAAAUCAACCACGUCAAGCAACUAAGUGAAGAGCAAAAACUUUAUGGAACAUGAUACUUUACCUUCGGUUGGGGCGACCACGGGGGAAAGAAGAUCCUCCGAGUGGACCGGGACAAACCUCCUAGAACUAAGAGAAACACCUCUAAGCCACAGAACAUCUGACCAAAUAUGAUCCGGCCAUAAAAACCGAUCAACGAACCAAGUUACCCUAGGGAUAA
RNAcentral lists this ribosomal RNA (422 nucleotides) under Capoeta bergamae. RNAcentral's name for it is "partial 16S ribosomal RNA". It matches the Rfam family "Bacterial large subunit ribosomal RNA", at positions 1854 to 2477 of the family's 2925-position model. The record is from RNAcentral. Lineage: Eukaryota; Metazoa; Chordata; Actinopteri; Cypriniformes; Cyprinidae.